Molecule: ribosomal RNA, 234 nt
Filed under: uncultured Eubacteriales bacterium
Lineage: Bacteria; Bacillati; Bacillota; Clostridia; Eubacteriales
Description: uncultured Clostridiales bacterium partial 16S ribosomal RNA
Rfam family: Bacterial small subunit ribosomal RNA
Source: RNAcentral
CGGACGGGUGGGUAACGCGUGAGUAACCUGCCUUACACAAGGGGAUAGCCGUUGGAAACGACGAAUAAUACCCUAUGAAACUAUCACUUCGCAUGAAGCGAUAGUCAAAGUGUUAGCGGUGUAAGAUGGACUUGCGUCUGAUUAGCUAGUUGGUGAGAAAAAGCCCACCAAGGCAACGAUCAGUAGCCGGCUUGAGAGAGUGUACGGCCACAUUGGGACUGAGACACGGCCCAG